CCAUCAAGAAAGAGAGAGGAUGCUGAUGAUGUAGGUAUCAAAGAAGAUGGAAUGAAAGAGCUCACCUUCAAUGAUUCAAAUGAAUAAAAUAAAGAUCAGAUGGAUGAAAAAUAAGAGAAUGAAAGAAUCAAUGAUCAGAACAUUUAAGAACAACCUCCAGACAUAGGUAAUCUCCCAAGAGAAUAGAGGUAUGUUCAUAAUCACCCUAGAG
Molecule: long non-coding RNA, 211 nt
Filed under: Elaeis guineensis (African oil palm)
Lineage: Eukaryota; Viridiplantae; Streptophyta; Magnoliopsida; Arecales; Arecaceae
Description: long non-coding RNA (EGUI_LNC062618)
Source: RNAcentral